UACGAAGGGGGCUAGCGUUGCUCGGAAUCACUGGGCGUAAAGCGCACGUAGGCGGAUCUUUAAGUCAGGGGUGAAAUCCCAAGGCUCAACCUUGGAACUGCCUUUGAUACUGGGGAUCUCGAGUCCGGAAGAGGUGAGUGGAACUGCGAGUGUAGAGGUGAAAUUCGUAGAUAUUCGCAAGAACACCAGUGGCGAAGGCGGCUCACUGGUCCGGUACUGACACUGAGACGCGAAAGCGUGGGGAGCAAACAGG
This 253-nucleotide ribosomal RNA is filed under the name uncultured bacterium. RNAcentral describes it as "partial 16S ribosomal RNA". It matches the Rfam family "Bacterial small subunit ribosomal RNA", at positions 524 to 776 of the family's 1533-position model. The record is from RNAcentral.